RNAcentral lists this ribosomal RNA (449 nucleotides) under uncultured bacterium. Its description in RNAcentral is "partial 16S ribosomal RNA". It matches the Rfam family "Bacterial small subunit ribosomal RNA", at positions 328 to 792 of the family's 1533-position model. The record is from RNAcentral.
AGGCCAGACUCCUACGGGAGGCAGCAGUGGGGGAUAUUGCACAAUGGGGGGAACCCUGAUGCAGCGACGCCGCGUGAGGGAAGACGGCCUUCGGGUUGUAAACCUCUGUCGCAGGGGACGAAGGAGAUGACGGUACCCUGUGAGGAAGCCACGGCUAACUCCGUGCCAGCAGCCGCGGUAAUACGGAGGAUGCGAGCGUUAUCCGGAUUUAUUGGGUUUAAAGGGUGCGCAGGCGGCACGGCAAGCCGGCGGUCAAAUCGCGGGGCUCAACCCCGCCCAGCCGUCGGAACUGCCGGGCUAGAGUGGGCGAGAAGUGCGCGGAAUGCGUGGUGUAGCGGUGAAAUGCAUAGAUAUCACGCAGAACUCCGAUUGCGAAGGCAGCGCACCGGCGCCCUACUGACGCUCAGGCACGAAAGCGUGGGUAUCGAACAGGAUUAGAUACCCGCGUA